GAACGCACCUUGCGCUCCUUGGUAUUCCGAGGAGCAUGCCUGUUUGAGUGUCAUGAAAUUCUCAACCUUUUCAGCUUUCUUUGUUGAUCAGGCUUGGAUGUGGGAGUAUGCGGGCUUCUCAGAAGUCGGCUCUCCUGAAAUGCAUUAGCGGGACCUUUGUUGCCUGGCUUUGGUGUGAUAAUUAUCUACGCCAUUGUAGUCAAGCAGCUUAAAAUGAGGUUUCAGCUUCUAACCGUCUCCCCUGAGACAACUUUUUGACAAUUUGACCUCAAAUCAGGUAGGACUACCCGCUGAACUUAAG
Molecule: unclassified non-coding RNA, 301 nt
Filed under: Tricholoma argyraceum
Lineage: Eukaryota; Fungi; Basidiomycota; Agaricomycetes; Agaricales; Tricholomataceae
Description: sequence contains 5.8S rRNA gene
Rfam family: 5.8S ribosomal RNA (bases 1-53)
Source: RNAcentral